AGUGAACGCUGGCGGCGGGCCUAACACAUGCAAGUCGAGCGGCAGCGGGUUCCCGCGAGGGGAUGCCGGCGAGCGGCGGACGGGUGAGGAACACAUCGGAAUCUGCCUGGUUGUGGGGGAUAACGUAGGGAAACUUACGCUAAUACCGCAUGAGACCCUGAGUCGACGGACUGGGGGGUGAAAGUGAGGGACCUUCGGGCCUCACGCGACCAGAUGAGCCGAUGUCGGAUUAGCAGUUGGCGGGGUAACGGCCCGCCAAGGCGACGAUCCGUAGCUGGUCUGAGAGGAUGAUCAGCCACACUGGGACUGAGACACGGCCCAGACUCCUACGGGA
RNAcentral lists this ribosomal RNA (334 nucleotides) under uncultured bacterium. Its description in RNAcentral is "bacterial SSU rRNA". It matches the Rfam family "Bacterial small subunit ribosomal RNA", at positions 30 to 346 of the family's 1533-position model. The record is from RNAcentral.